AACCUCCCCUCCUCCCUGGUGAUCAUGGGUGGGUCACAGCUGAGGGGUUGAACCGCCCAGCCACACAUCCCGAAGCAGCCCUAGUGGCGAUCCCAUCACUGAGUAAUUAGCUCUCUGAGUCAUGCUCCUGAGUUAAUACAUCCUCCGCUGGCUUUUCACACAGAAACAUUCAUUUAUUGUAUUUUUUUAAAAAUAAGUCAUGCGCUGAGCCAAAUAUGAAUUGUCACCAACUUCCACCAGGCCAGUGAUGUAAUUCACAGACAUUCAAACACCCUGAAGUGAGUAGCCCUUUAAGAAAGAGCCGAAAUUGCUACUUUAUUGUCCUCUGAGUCUGUUAUACUUUAUAAUUUCACAACAUUUCAGUCGCUGGGUAGUUAGAAAACGUGUGUUAGGUCUCUGGCCCCCCGUGGCUGGUCCUGCGGCCUCCGGGCAGAAGACAGGUGGCAUCACGCCAGUGCCAGCCUUGGGUUCCAGAACAGCACGGCCCUGGCAGACCCGGAGCCAGGGAAAGAGACUGGCAGUCUGCUCUUGACUUCCUUGACCCUCCUUCCUCUGUCAGGAUCUGGAGCAUCAGACCUGCCAGUCCUCGAACUGCUCACCCGGAAGGAUGCUCGGCCAGGCUCCCCGGAGGAGGGAAGGAAGCCCCGUGCAGGUCCCUACUGGCCUCCACCACCUUCAUCGUGGAAAAGCACGUGUGGACCCAGAAAUGUCACGCCCAGAACACAUGGGGGCCCUUCUCAUCCGCCGCCGGACACACCCGUCCUGGGCCAACAGGGCAGCCCUCCUCUCGCUGCCCCCCAUCCUCUGAAACCAGGAAUGGACGUGGUUCCUGCAUCUUCAAACCUGCCUCUAAUUUGGAAGUUUUGCUGUUUAGAACAUCUCAAACGGAAGUUGUGGUUUUUGAGGCUGAUCAUUUUCCCCUUAUUCCCCCGAGCAUUAGCAAAAUGCCAGACAUUUCUAAGCAAAUUCUUUGGAAUAAAAGCAGGAAAUGGUCUUCAGAGUUGCG
Molecule: long non-coding RNA, 1006 nt
Filed under: Capra hircus (goat)
Lineage: Eukaryota; Metazoa; Chordata; Mammalia; Artiodactyla; Bovidae
Description: lncRNA (ENSCHIG00010003823.1)
Source: RNAcentral